This 9762-nucleotide long non-coding RNA is filed under the name Daucus carota (carrot). Its description in RNAcentral is "long non-coding RNA (DCAR_LNC000794)". The record is from RNAcentral. Lineage: Eukaryota; Viridiplantae; Streptophyta; Magnoliopsida; Apiales; Apiaceae.
AGCAGAACUCAAAUGUGCUUGAUUGAUGUCACUUGUAGUAGCAGCGAAGCGGAACCUCGCCAAACCAAAAUCACCAAUACGAGCAACAAAAUCCUGAUCAAGAAGAACAUUACUUGGCUUUAGGUCGCAAUGAAUAAUACUAUCAUGGGCGUGAUGAUGUAGGUAAUCCACUCCUAGAGCAACAUCAAUGGAAAUACUUAGUCUUUGAAGUAGAGUCAAGUAUCUUUCAUUCCCUUGAUCAGGACUUGGAUGCAACCACUUGUCCACACUCCCAUUAGUCAUAAACUCAAAAACCAAUGCCUUAAAGUCAUUUCCCUUAAAAUCAAUGCUAGAGCAUGCUGUGAUGAUCUUGAUAAGAUUCCGAUGACGAAUGUGCCUCAAUGUUUCACAUUCUGCCAGAAAAGUCUUGUUGGCUCCAUGUGUUUUAAUGUUUAGCACCUUCACCGCGAGUACGUGUUCCACCGAGUCGAGAACUCCUUUGUAAACGGAACCGUAUGUUCCUUCACCGAGCAAAUUAUUUGGAGAAAAUUCAUUUGUGGCUCGUAGAAGGGCUUGGUAAGAAAGUUUGGGGUAUUGAUCAUCCUUCAAUCCUGGGACAGGGUCAUUAAACUUCUUGGAGUUUCUACGAUUAUAGUAAAUCAACGCAAGACAUGCUAACAACAUUCCGAGGGGUACAAGAACUAGGAGUAGUAUUACUCUCUGGGAAAAUGCUCUUUUCUUUUUCCUGGAGACUUUUUCAGGACAAGCAGGUAACUGCAAUGCUUGAAUACCUCCACAGAGCUCCGAAUUUCCAAUAACGGAAAAGGCACUAACUUUUGAAAACAGACCUUCUUUCGAAACUUCACCUACAAGCUUGUUGUGCGACAGGUUGAGGAACACAAUUUGACGAAACUCAUCAAAAAAGCUUGGGAUACUCCCAUUAAUAUCAUUGUUUGAAAGAUCUAGCAAUACAAGACUUCUCAAAGCUUUGAAAGAAGACGGAAUUUUACCUUGAAAAAGGUUUCCUUCCACAUUUAAAAUCUCCAACAUUACACAAUCGCCCAAAGUAGCUGGUAUAUCUCCUCUUAGUUUGUUGUUUGAAACAUCUAGUUCAACCAAUUGUUUCAAGCUUCCAAUGUUGGAGGGAAGUGGACCGCUGAACAGAUUGUGGGACAAAUUAAGGUGAAUACAAUGGGAGAAAAGCACAACCUCCGCAGGUAUUACCCCUGUAAGUCUGUUGUUAGAAAGGAACACUUCCUCUAGAGUUGAGAUGUUAAACAAUUCAGAAGGUAUGCUUCCUUGGAGCACAUUAGCAUCUAAAUAGCGAGCAGCUAAUUGAGUAAUGUUGCUAAUGGAAGUUGGGAUUGUUCCUGCAAGACUGUUUCCAUACAAAGCUAGCCCACCUAACUUUGAUAGUCUUCCAAUUGAUUGUGGAAUUCUGCCCGUUAAGAAGUUUUCUCCUAAAUGAAGAUGUGUCAAGCUCACAAGUUUUCCAAUUUCAAGAGGUAUGUUUCCGUAUAUGUGGUUUCUAUACAAAUACAGGAAUUCCAUCGUGGUGGAGAGAUUUGCAAUGGACUUAGGUAGCUCCCCUCUUAAACUACACUCAGCUAAUUCCAACACCUUUAGAUGGGUACAAUUAACCAAGGAAUUGAAAAAUCUCCAGUCAUUGGGCCGCAUAUUCUCUCCAAGUGGAUUAACAGCCAGACUUAGGUGUUGAAGAUUAGGAAGGCUACCCAAAUUGUUCGGUAUAGGCCCAGUUAUAUUGUUAAGUGCCAGUUCAAAGAUAACAAGAUUGGAAGCAUUAGCUAUUGAAGGUGGAAGUGUGCCCGUAAAAGUGUUAUUUUCAGCAUAGAACUUUUGUAGUCUGGGGAGAAGGGUGAAGCCCAAAUCUGAUGGAAGCGUUCCUUCUAACAGAUUAUUGUCUAGAGCAAAAAUAGAGAGGGACGAAAAGUUGUAAAGUGGUAGGGGAACCAUACCCGACAACCUGUUUCCUGACAAACUAAGUCGCUCUAAUUUGGCAAGAUGAGACACUUCGAGAGGUAUUCCCCCAACUAGAUUAUUGUAACCUAAAAAGAGAUCACGAAGAGAUGAUAUAUUCCCUAUUGAAGGCGGAAUGGAUCCAUCAAUAUGAUUGUGUAUAACACUAAACUCAUCUAGCUUAGGCCAAGAAGAAAAAUCAGUGGGUAGUUUCCCUUUAAAAUUGUUACGACCCAGAUCAAGAAUACGAAGAGAUGAUAUAUUUCCUAUAGAUGGUGGAAUUGAUCCACUAAAUUCAUUGAUAUCUACAGCAAACAUAUAAAGUUUAGACCAAGAAGCAAAGUCAAUUGCUAAUUCUCCUUCAAGAUGGUUGUUUUCCAGAUCAAUAGUUCUUAUAUUUUUACAACCAUGCAAAUCAACAGGAAAACCACCUUGAAAGGAGUUGUUUGCCAGAGAAAGAUGUUGUAGGCGCAACAGUUGGCCAAUUUCACCGGGAAUGAAGCCAUGUAAGCUGUUUGCAUUGAGGGAAAUUGUCUUUAGAAACGAUAGGUUUCCAAUACGAGGAGACAAUGUACCCGCCAAGUUUAGUGAUGAGAGAUCGAUUUCUGUUACCCUCUGUCUUCUGCGACUGCAUGUAAUGCCUGUCCAAUGACAGAAGUUGAUGGAAUUGUUCCACGAGUCUAGCACACCCGAGGGGUCUUUACUUAUUGAAUGCUUUAAAGAAAGCAAAGCCUCUUGAUCAGUGAAAUUGUUUGAAAAUGAAUAUACGAAAGUUGUUGAGGUUCCCAACAGAAAAAAGAAGAGAAUGUAGAAUCGGAGAAAGUUGGAAAUCAUGGUUGUACAAUUAAGAAGAGAAAAUGCUGCAGGGUGUGAAGUAUUGGUAAUGAUCAUUACUUAUUAGUAUGUUUCUCAACUGCAACGUUGAGAGUGUGUUUAUCAAUCAGUGUUGUCUCCAGCAAACGACUCAAUAUGGUCAAGCAGGUCAGCCAGGACUCAGGAGUGGUGGAAAUCAAAUGGUUCCUGAGAAGUUAUCAGCUAAUUUUUUGAGUGGAGUUGUAUUUUCUGCAACUAAUUAGAAACUAAAUUAAAUUUAUUAUUAGAAUAUUACAUGAUCCUAAUAAACCCUCUUUCUAAUGAAACGGGUGUGCCAUAGAAAUAUCUCAAGUUAUUAUAUAUAAAUUUUGAUAAUCAAAAAUAUUAUUUAUGAUUAAAUUAAAAAAAAAUAUGACUCAUACUAAAAUUUUAAUUGUGGAUCCCAUAAAACCAAACUCACGUGGAAAUACAAACUUAAAUAAAUUAUUUUAAUAAAAUCUUUUCAUAUAUAAAUAUAAAUAUUUUUCGACUUUAAUAUUAUAUAUGAUCAUGCAUAUAUACCAUACGAGUAAUGGCAUAUUUAAGAAUGUAUGAAUAAAUAAUUCAAACAAACAUUACAUUUUAUUAUAAUAUUAGUAUAUAUUUUAUUUUAAAGAUAUUGUAACCGGAUAUGGAUAGUUUUUAAUUGUCGAUUGUACUUCUGUUUUUUUUAUAUGACGUUUCGACUUUUGACAAAUAAUUAUAGAUGUUUUGAAAAAAAAAAAUUAUUUGUAAUAAUUUGUUUUUUUGUGAAAUUUUUUUAUUAUAUAUUUUUAGUUAGAAAAAAUUAAUUUUAACUAUGGAAUCCAAAUUUACUUUAAUAGAUGUGCCACAUUUAUGGUCAAAAUAAAAUACCCAGGAGUAAUAAUCAAAGUUUUUGAAGGGGUACUGUUGUUGUGAUCAUGUAAAGAUUGGUUUGUUUUCUUCUUCAACCCAUGGCUCUUUUGGGCAUCUAUGUACCAAACAACUGCUGUGUUUCCCAGAGAUUUUAUUUCUAUAGUUGGUUUUCUGAUUAUUUUACUUGAUAAAUAAGUUGGAAAACAGCAAGCAAAAUUGUGGAAGAAAAUUCGAAACAUCGCUGUACAAUUAAUAGAAAUUUUAAGGAGUGGUAGCGCUGAUUGCAGAAUGCAGGGACAACUAAGAAAGCAAAAUUGUGGAAAAAAAUUCGAAACUUCGCUGUACAAUUAAUAGAAAUUUGAAGUAGUGGUAGUGCAGAUUGCAGAAUGCAGGGACAACUAAGAAAGUCCAGAGGAGUAGUUAUCAAUCAAUUACUGUAAUUUGUUUUGUCUCCAGCAAGCGACUUCAUAAGGUCAAGCAGGUUUAGCCAAGACCCGAGAUCGGUGGAAAUUAGUUGGUCCCUCAAAUUUUUAUGGUAUGUCCAUUGAUAGUGAGUAAUUGAAUUGGAAAAUGCUACAUAUUCCAAAAUAUCACCUCAAAAUUUUUUCCCAAAUAAUAUGGCAUACACUGAUUGGUUGCAUUUCUCCAAUAAUAAUGAGACCCCAUUGUAUAUUCAUUAAUCACCCAAUCAAAAUCUUUCACUUGUAUGCCACAUCAUUUGGUAAAACAUUUUGGGAAAAUUUUUGGAGUUUCUAGCAUUGCCCGAAUUGAAUUUUCCACACAUGUUUGUAAAACAGAAACUAUAUUAAAUUAAGUUUAUCAUGUUGGUUUUAUAUUUUUUUCAGUUAUAUCCAGUAUCUCAAUAAUUUUCAAUCCAAACUUUUUUGCUUAAUUUUUUCAAUAUCUUUUACAUAUCAACAGUGUUAUAAAAAAUCCAAAUUGAUUUUAAGCGGCGAGAGGACCUUCUACUUAAACAAGCGAAAUUUUAAAAGGAUAAGUAAGCAUACCAAUAAUAUAGACACACACACACAUUCAGGGUCCUCCUCCAAUAGAAACUACUAGAAUAGAAACCAAUGCGAUUAAGUAAAAUGAUUUGAGUUUUGGGAUCGGGGAUGUACCCCAAGAUGGGCCUAGACGGGGUCUAAGUGGGGCCUAGUAGGGCCGGGUCGAGCCUAGUGGGACCAUGACGUGGCCAAGUUUUGACUCUUUAAGACUGUCUGGGGCCUGUGAGGAGCCCUGGCGAGGCACUAGUGGGCCCGAGGUGGAUUGAGUGGGGGUGAGGGUGGGCCCUAGGCCCCUAGCUGGGUGAUGACAUACAGGGGCUUUGGGUGAUAACAUAUAGAGGGUGGGUAAGGUCAUUUAGGUAUAGUUUCUCUUGGUUUCCAUUUUAGUUUUAAUUUUAGUAGUUUCUAUUUGAGCAAUUGCAUAUAUAUAUAUANNAGAUUCAACAUAAGAUGGUUUUCCUUUAUAUGUGACUUGGUAGCACUCCAUAGCAUACCCUCUUAUAUGGAGUUACGUAGCACACCAUUAUAAAUAUAAACAUAUUAUAUAUUUUAUUAUAUUUUUUAUGAAAUAUAAUUGCAAAUUUUGAUUAUUAAACUGAAAACGAAGUUAUACAAUUUAUUUAUUCCAAAAAUCAUCUAAAAUUAUGCAAUAUCUCAACAUGAUUCUAUGACAGAAUAAUAAUCAUCCAGAAUUAUUCUGUUGUAGAAUCAGUUUCGAAAAUAUACUUUUUUUCAUCAAAUUUUAAGUGUUAAAUUACUUAAAAUAGAUAUAUUUUAUAGUAUUCUAUAUUACAAUCACGUUUUAUAUGUAUUUUAUAACAAAAUUUAUAAUAAAAUUAAUGAUUUAUAGUGGCGCACUAUGUAACUCCAUACAAGGAGUUCCUCUCUGGAAUGUUGGCCCACACACACACACACACAUCAGUGUUGUAAAAAGCGGAAAUCGGACUUAGUCGGUAAAGGCAUCGUCUAGCGAUUAAUUGGAUUAUCGGGGAUUAAUCGGAGUGAUUAAUCGGAUCAAUUUAAUAUUAUUUUUUAAAUUAGAUAAAUAUUAAUAUAUUUAUAUUUAUAUUUACAAUAGAUUUAUAAUCGUAUAAUUUUAUAAAUUAAAAAUUCAAUAAUUUUAUCCAAAAAAUAUCCAUUUUCUAAAUAUUUAGGUCAAUUCAUCCUGCAAGACAAUAGUAUAAUGUAUCUUAAAAUUAAUUUUUGAUUUUUAAAUUUCUUUUACUAUGAUUUUUAUUUUUUUAAACUUUCUGAUUUUUUACCGAUUUUUGCCGAUUUUUACCGUCUUGUGACCGAUUAAUCCCGUCUUUGACCGAUUUUUCUGGAAAAACGAUUUUUUCACCGAUUAACGCUUAAUCGAGACGGUGGCCAACCGAACAGCGAUUAAUCGGCGAUUAAUCCCGAUUAAUCGCCGACUUUUAGAACACUGAUAUUAUGCUUUAAUGAUGGAAGAGAAACUUUAAUAAUAAAAUAUUAAACAUGUAAUGAGAAUAAGGCACGUUGUUGGAGUUGAAGUCAGUAAAAUAAAUCCUAAAUAAUUAUCAUUGUGUUGAAUAUAUCUAAAAAGAUGUUUAAACUAUACCUCUGGGGUUUGGGUAGGGUCUAGAAACAUAAAUAUUAGUUAAAUAACAUGUUUACCUUAGUUUUUAGUUUUUACAUUUAAAAAUUGGUUUAUGUACUUCUCCACCACUAUUUUAAUCGAUGUUCAACAAAAUAUGAUAAAAAAAUGUUGAACUCAAGUUAUAUAUGUGUUGAACAAAAAAAGUUUUGCAACAAAAAAAUGUUGAAAAAAUAUUGAACUCAAGUUAUAUAUGCGUUGAACAAAAAAAGUUUGUAAGUUUGUAAGUUUGUACCAGAACCCUCCCCUAUAUAUAUAUAUAUAUAUAUAUAUACUGAGAUUCUAGAGAAAAUCCAAUUAUCGAGAAAACCAAGAAAAUUCUGUAUUAGUGGGAUAGAUCAUAUAAUUUACCUUUUUUAUAUCCAAAUACGAGAAAAUCUUGUACAGAAUCUUCAUUUAUGAUAUUUCCAAAAUGCAAUCUUUUAAGCAAUUAAUGUUUUUGAUUUAAUGUGUAUUGAUGUUAUAAAUACAUUCCAUAUACACCGGAUAUGAUUGAUAUCACUAAAUAUUACUCUAUAAUUUAGAAUACCAUGUGAAUACAAUACCUGAUGAACGGUGAUUAAGCGGAUUCUCGGUUUUCUUCAUAAGCGGAGUUUUCUUAGGAUCUCCCUAUAUGUAUAUAUAGUUAUAAAACUAAUGUAUUUAAAAUGAAAUUAUGUUGCCAUAAGAAUUUAAAUUAUGAUAUUUUUACAUUUUUUCUAUAUAAUGAUAGUUAUUGAUAAAAAAAUUAAUAUUUUAAAAUCAAAAAAUUAGCAAGUCAACAUCAUUUUCACCGUAGAUUCCGCUUAAUCUGUUCAAUAAUCCGCUUGAUUUUAAAAAAUUCUUAAUCAUGAGUUUAGUACAAAAUUAAAGCACUUUAUACCCCGAUUCCACUUAAUUAAACAGCCAUUUAAUGCGUUUUUUUUCGGGGAUAAUUCAUAUUUACAACACUUCAUAUUAGUACUGUUAUGGAGAUUCUCGUUUAAUACUGUUGCAAAUAAUUUUCUUCUACCUUAAAUUUCAAAUACGCGGUUACAUUUUCUUCAUACACGCCAAUUUUGACCUGCCAUCCUAAGAAAAUAGGAAAUGAUAGUAAUCUUAUCUGUUACUAUUAAGGGUUUGGCUAGUGUGUGCCCAUGGGCACAUGCUAAGUACUAACAUUUAUAAAAUUGGAGAGUUUUGAUUGGUGUGGUUGUUGCAACUACAGGGGGGUCCACCAUUAUUAAAGAAGCUAAGCCAAUAGAAAUCAUCCAAAUUCAUAAAUUUUGGUGCUUAGUGUGUGCCCAUGGGCACACCAUAGAAAAAUUGUACUAUUAAAGCCUUAAUAGAAAUUAGUUAGCAAUGCCGGUCGAUCAGUAUCACUGCUUUAAAACGCCUAUACAAAUAUCUUUCCUGAUGCUAUAGCCAUAAUAAAAGAUCGGAUUGGGCACACACUAACAGCCACUUUUUGAGUAGGUGGAUGACUUUCAUUGGCUAAAUCUCAUUAAUAAUCAUGGCUCCAUGCAUAUGCACAAAAAUCAUGAUCAAUAAAAACCCUCCACCUGGGCACACACUAGAAAGACCCAUAAAAGAUUAUGACGGAUUCUUCGUAACAGAAUCAGGAACUGCUAAAACUUUUCAUGUUGUUUCUGGUGCAUGAUUUCAUCUGCUCUUCCUGAGAUUCUAAGCUAAAAUUUGAUUAAGCGGUGUGCAAUGAUCAAAAAGUCCGAGACAAAAAGUAGCCCUCGCUUGUAGUAAGGUUUCUAUUCAUUUUGUCAAUCAAUAAGCAAGCUCCGUUGUGCAAUAGAUACACUUUGAGGCAUCACAUUGUUAAUUAACUUGACAGAAGAAAAAGUAAAUUAGACUUGCACAACAAGAAUAAACAAGCUCUAUUGUGCACCAAUGGGGUUGGCUAUAUUGAUUGAAAGUAGGUCAGACGGUCAGUAGGUGUACAGCUUGUUACCAGUCUUGAAAAUUAAAUAUUUAUCCAAUCAAACAGCACAAACAUCAUUCCAGUCUCUCGCAAACUAGCGGUGCUUUCAUAACUCUUCUAGUCUUCUUAUACUUCUAACCAGGGAGAAACAUUAACAUCAAGACCGUGUCUUCAGCUUUAAUAUCUACAAGCAGAAACUAGGGUCUACAAGCAGACCGUGUUACUUUUUGACAUGCUUUUUAACACUCAUUUAAAGUAUAUUUCCACAAUAUAUUUUUAUAAAAAAGAAAAUUUUAGAAAAAAAUUAUGAUACUAUACUUCAUAAAAGUCUCAAAAUGCGUGCAAACAGUGAACGUAAACAACCACGGGACAGAGGGAGUAAUAAAUACUAGUCAAUUAAGGUCAAUUACGCCCAAGAAUGCUUCUGAUGUGGAGUCCGACCUUGUCAGCCGUGCCAUAUAAACGGCUUUAGACAGGCUGGUGCCAAAAAAGGAACGGUAGCUGUGGUAGUGCAUCGACAAUCCACCAUAGAGUACAGUAGCUGUGGUGGUAAUAUGUGAAAUUAUACAUUAUGGACUAAAAAAUUCGAGUAUGCGAUGUGCAAUUUGCAGGCAUCAAAUGUGUUGUAAUUAGCUUCGAAAAAAAUUUAAGUAAAAUUAAGCAACACGUGACAGCAUAUUAUAAAAAGUAAACGAGAUGGUGAAUAUAAUAAGCCAUGUCUUCAAUACAAAAUCAGAUCCCAAUAUGCGGUAUCAAGAAUAGAAACAUAGGAAAAGCAGAGAUAUAGAGACAUGGGUUAAUGGCUGUGCUGCAGAAGUUUGUCUCUUGCUGCAUGUAGCUGCUUGAUCGCAAUACCAAUGUCAAUGCGCUCUUUGGGCAUUUCAACUGAACAUAGUAUCCCCACUUGAAAUAUUGAUGUCAGGCAUGCCUCUAAGAUAGCCUUGCUGUAUGAAUGAUUUGUUGUUAAACCAUGAUCUUCUUCAUCUAUUAUGAUCCAUGGAUCCACAAUGUUCAUAACCCUUUGUGGGAGUGCAUUCCUCACAUAGUCAUGAAGAUUAUUAUUAUUGUCCAGCAAUGCGCUGCUACAUGUAGGUCGUUUGCCUGUAAACAUUUCUAGUAGAAAGAUUCCGUAGCUAUAUACAUCUCCCUCUACAGAGAUCUCAGCACCCAUUCCAUACUCUGCACAACUAAAAGGUUAAGACAAUUGCCAAAAAAUGAUGCCUUAUAAAAUAUUUAUUGUUUACUACAGUAAUAUAUAGUGAUGGUAUAAAUAAAAGUGUUGAGCAGUAUUAAAUAUUAACAGGAAAAAAAAUCAUUUUAAAAGUCACCUGGAGGCACAUAUCCAAUUGUUCCGCGUACACCAGCAGAACUCAAAUGUGCUUGAUUGAUGUCACUUGUAGUAGCAGCAAAGCGGAACCUCGCCAAACCAAAAUCACUAAUACGAGCAACAAGAUCAUCAUCGAGAAGCACAUUACUUGGCUUUAGGUCGCAAUGAAUAAUACUAUCAUGGGUGUGAUGAUGUAGGUAAUCCACUCCAAGAGCAACAUCGAUGGAGAUACUUAGUCUUUGAAGUAGAGUCAAGUAUCUUUCAUUCCCUUGAUCAG